This is a long non-coding RNA of Cyanistes caeruleus (blue tit), 253 nucleotides long. RefSeq lists it as uncharacterized. Lineage: Eukaryota; Metazoa; Chordata; Aves; Passeriformes; Paridae. The record is from RefSeq and is a predicted model, not a curated record.
UGUGACGAGACCCUGUGAGAAGCCCAUGCUGGAGCAGAUUUGCUGGUGGGACUUGUGACCCCACCGAGGACCAGGGAUGGAGAUUUAGAGCAUUUUCCAGAGGGCAGGAUGGGGCUAGGGAGCGUGCCUGAAGAGCCAGAAAAGCAAAUGGGAAUGUUGUGUACCUUAAGGGAUUCAGCAGGAGCAUUCAUGCAGGAGACAGCAGGUGACAGGACAGCCAGCUCUGGGAGGGGGCAGUGCUGCCACAUCUCUG